Molecule: non-coding RNA, 668 nt
Organism: Tachysurus fulvidraco (yellow catfish)
Lineage: Eukaryota; Metazoa; Chordata; Actinopteri; Siluriformes; Bagridae
Source: the annotation of a RefSeq genome assembly
AUUCCUCUCUGUUACAUCAUCAUAACCCCCACAUGUUUUCUAUCAUGACGUCAUGAUGCAAAUCCAGACUGCUGUGUGUCCAUGCUGUAUUUAUGUGCAGCUGAGCUGAGUGGAGAGAUCGAGUCUCAUCAACACUCACCAUGAAGAUCCCACUCUCCUUAUUCCUGCUUGUAAUCAGCUUCAUAGGUAUUCAGUGUCAGAGUCUUGAGUCUAUUCCCACUGGUUCAGUGGUGAAAAAACCUGGAGAAACUCUGAGUCUUUCCUGUAAAGGAUCUGGGUUUAACUUUGGUGGCCAUGGCAUGCACUGGAUCAGACAAAAAGCUGGAAAAGCUCUAGAAUGGAUUGGGGUUAUCUGGUACGAUGCCAGUAAAACAAUAUACGCCAAAGACAUUGAGGGACGUUUGGAAAUUACCAGAGACAACUCCAAAAACAUGGUGUAUCUGCAGCUGACUGGUUUGAGUGCCCAGGAUUCUGCUGUUUAUUACUGUGCUAGAAACCACAGUGGUACAAACAUGUUAAUCAGCUGUACAAAAUCCUCCUCCAGAUGUGGACAAAGAGAAAAGUGCUUUCAAUAUAAAGGGCACUUUCACAAGAUCUGCAGGUGACGCUACAGUUCAACAAAUAUACUGUAACAUUGUAGGUUUCUUUAAAGUACAACAUAUUGUCAU